RNAcentral lists this ribosomal RNA (480 nucleotides) under uncultured bacterium. RNAcentral describes it as "partial 16S ribosomal RNA". It matches the Rfam family "Bacterial small subunit ribosomal RNA", at positions 28 to 523 of the family's 1533-position model. The record is from RNAcentral.
GACGAACGCUGGCGGCGUGCUUAACACAUGCAAGUCGAACGGUAAGGCCCUUUCGGGGGUACACGAGUGGCGAACGGGUGAGUAACACGUGGGUGAUCUGCCCUGCACUUUGGGAUACGCUUGGGAAACUGGGUCUAAUACCGAAUAGGACUAAGCUCUGCAUGGGGAUUGGGGGAAAGCUUUUGCGGGGUGGGAUGGGCUCGGGGGCUAUCAGCUGGUGGGUGGGGUGAUGGCCUACCAAGGCGGCGACGGGUAGCCGGCCUGAGGGGGUGUCCGGCCACACUGGGACUGAGAUACGGCCCAGACUCCUACGGGAGGCAGCAGUGGGGAAUAUUGCACAAUGGGCGCAAGCCUGAUGCAGCGACGCCGGGUGGGGGAUGACGGCCUUCGGGUUGUAAACCUCUUUCAGCACAGACGAAGCGCAAGUGACGGUAUGUGCAGAAGAAGGACCGGCCAACUACGUGCCAGCCGCCGCCGUAA